CAAGUUCGUACUUAGCUGUCUCCCGUACCAUAGUGGURCAGCUUUUUCAUAGGCRUGUCSGRUUAAUUUGRCUUGAGGGGAAAACUAAGUGAGUGCGGCCCCUUGAUMCUCUUGYCCUCCGUCGAYACUAUAAGCGAUAGCGAGAAGUGCGGUUUUUACGCAGUUUGUCGACAUUUCGAGCUUGGGUCUCUGAGGUUGAAACGYRUCCMGRGUGGUAUUUUUGGUUAUACUUCUAUUCGCUUAGGUUGUUGGCUUAAUGACUCUAAAUGACCCGUCUUGAAACACGGACCAAGGAGUC
Molecule: ribosomal RNA, 298 nt
Filed under: Rhizopus arrhizus
Lineage: Eukaryota; Fungi; Mucoromycota; Mucoromycetes; Mucorales; Rhizopodaceae
Description: Rhizopus oryzae partial large subunit ribosomal RNA
Source: RNAcentral